This 3383-nucleotide long non-coding RNA is filed under the name Sus scrofa (pig). RNAcentral describes it as "lncRNA (ENSSSCG00000059579.1)". Lineage: Eukaryota; Metazoa; Chordata; Mammalia; Artiodactyla; Suidae. The record is from RNAcentral.
GAGACAGCACCGCCGGGCUGUGAGACGGAGAGUCCUGGCAACCCUUUCUCCCGUUCUAGACCUCAGUGCCUGUUCCGGAAUCUAAUGGGCAUUUCAUUUCCCGAUCUCCUGGCUGUGGUGGACCGCAGUAUUUGCGGGCAAGUCAAAUUCGGCCUCAGAAAGGGGGUCAGGCUCAGUCAUCAGUCACUAACAACCCUGCUGGAGAGAACCAAGUCUGAAGCCCUAGUUGUAAUAACAUCACGUUUUCAUUUAGUCUUACCUGGCCUAUUGUAUUUGGCAUUAUUCUUCCUUUAGCGUUACGACAUACACUGGGGCAAGGGUCGUUCUACUCAAGAGACAGAUCGGGGAAGGGGAGCCAGAGUCAAAUCAAGUAAAUCUUCUGUAACUACACCGCCAGGCAUCCGGAACUGGUGCUGGUCCAUGCUUUUAGCAAACUGCUCUUGCCUAACUGCAAACUAAAACUUGCCAUGUUGUUCUGAGGCUCUAGCCUAUUAAACCAAAAGAUCAGUAAAUCAAGCCAUCUAAAGGAAAAAGACAUGGGAUGCAUGCUUCAUUGCUGAAUCAGGAAGAGUGAACAGACUAAAAUCAAAUGAUGCCAAUCUGAGAGCUGCAGUUUUGCAACCUCUGACUUUACACAAAAUUUUGAAACAUCAUAAAACAAACUAUUCAAUCCUGGAACACUGAAUCGUUCAUUUAGGGAGUUCAGCUCCUGAAUCACAGCUCUAUGAAUGAAAUGGAAGAAGAUGGUUGAAGUCCACUAAAGUAUGUCUCAAAUUUAAUCUACUUUCAAGGUUUAAUUUGCAGUCAUGUAUAGUAACCAACGAUUUCUUAUAUGUUUAACAGCUUAGCCUUACUUGGCCCAAUGAGGGGUUCUGUGGUUAAGAAAGCCAUUGUUUUGAUUAAUUCAUUUCAUUGGAGUUGAGUGUUAACUGUAGCUAAGCGCUGGUAGGGACUUUGAGGAUACGAAAGAAAUACGAUGUGAUUCCUGGCUUAAUAGCCUGUGGUUUGCAAACGUCAACAGCAUAUGAAACAACUAGGAAGUACUUUAAAGCAAGAUAUGACAAUGGUGCCAAACUUAAUUUAUAAUUUAUUUUCUCCAAAGGUAAUAAUACUACUACAUAUUUGCAGAGCAUUGUAGUUUUCAAAACACUCCUUCACUUGAAUUAUUUGAGGGAAAUAUUGCUUUGACUUGCCUUAAUGUGGUUCUUCAUAGUGUUACAGCUAGAACUAUUGCUGGGCCCUGGUAUAAGCAUAGGAAUGAGAGAGGUGGAACAGAGAUGGAAGAGGAUCCAUGGAGAGAAAGUGGUUUAAACAAAGAGGCUGAGACAAGAUUGAGCACUUAGUAUCUGGGGAAUAAUGUGGAUCAUGGUUCAAGCCAGAGCAGAGAUAAGGGAGAAUAGCAUUGUGUAGAUGACCUGAUCAGGACCAGUCCUGAGCCCUUCAUGUUUGUGGGGAAAAGUGUUCAAAAGCUGGAUAUUGGGAACGUUAAUCUUACACUUCUAAUGAUCAGGUUGACUUUAGUUAAAGUAAAUUAAGAAUAGGGCAUGACUGAGGAGGCACUCCAGACUUCUUACAUCUUCCUGAAUGGAGAUAACCUUUUAGGUUUUCUCUCUCAUAAGGAGGAGCUGUCCCCCCAAACCCACCUCUACCUUACCCCUCAACUGGGAGGAGAUAUUAGUUUUCUGAUUAAAUGAUGAUAUCCUAGCCACUCACUGAAAUUGAACAAAGUGCUGACACUGUAGUGCUCCAUCUUUUGCCAUCUCUUAAUUGUAGUUCACUCUCGAGAAGAUUGAUUCCUUGUACAAGUGUUAUACAAUGUUCUGUAUCUCCACUGUAUAUGGAGAGCAUUGUAUUUGUAGAGUGUACUUAGGUGCUAUAUAUGUAUCCCUAUCAUUUUGUUUAAGUACAAUUUUCUUUUCUCCUAAACAAACGAAAAAGUCCAGGCAAAAACAGUGAUAACCAGAGUUCCCACUGUGGCUCAGCAGAAACAAAUCUGACUAGUAUCCAUGAGGACACAGGUUCCAUCCCUGGCCUUGCUCAGUGGGUUAAUGAUCUGACACAGCUGGGAUCCCAUGUUGCUGAGGCUGUGGCAUAAGCCAGUGACUAUAGCUCUGAUUCAACCCCUAGCCUGGGAACCUCUAUGUGCCUUGGGUGUGGUCCUAAAAAUACAAAAAACAAAACAAAACAGUAAUAACUAAUGUCUAAUUUCCUCUUCAAAUGUGUAAAAUGACACUGUUACACUGCCUGAUAGAGGUAGAAUGGCAAAAAGUGGUCAUUAGGGUUAUGGAGUGCAAGGAAUGAUUUUAAGAGAAGACAAAGUUUUUUGUCCAUUUUGUAGUUUUCAAAACUUUCCUGCCAGACAGCCCCAAAUUUUUUGUACAUAUUUUCUCAUGUGUGAUUAUUUUAGCCUUUUUUUUUCAGGUUUGAAAAUGUAUCUAAAACUUAAGUGAUUGUUGGUUAUUUGCUGAGAUUCAAACCUACCAUUGUUCUAUGUGCUAAUUGGGAAACUGGGUUUAAAAAAAUUCCCUCAGUACUAUCGUCACAGGUUGAAUCCCAGUCACUGGACUUCCAUGAUCACCCAGAAUUACCACUAUGAUUUUUCAAAUCAUAAUAUUUACCUAUUGCCAUAGACCAGGGGUUAGCAAACUGUGGCUUCUGUGCCUAAACUGGCCUGUCAUCUAUUUUUUUUUUUUUUUUUUUUGGUAUGAUCUGCAAGCUGAGUGAUUUUUACAUUUUUAAAUGGUUGGAAAAAUCAAAAGAAGAAAAAUAUGAAAAAUAUGUCUGUAAGUAAAGUUUUUAUACAGACAUGCUCAUAUGUUUUCUUGUUAACUAUGGCUGUUUCAUUUUAAAACAGCAGAGUUGAGUAGUUAAAACAGAGACUGUACAGCCUAUGGGCCUAAAAUAUUUACUAUUGGGCUCUUAGAAAAAGUUCUAAUUCUUACUAUCUCUAGAGGGUUCUAAUGAAUUAGUUUUGAUGGAAUGUUGGAAAUGAAACAGACUUUUGAAAUUAUGUACUGUUAAUUUAAAAAAAAAUCUUACAUUGAUAGAGUUAAGUGGUUUCUUCCUAAAAUCACAUAGUCAGUGGACAGAAUUUGUACUAGAACCCUGGUUUCACUGUUCCAAGGUUUUUUUCAUCCAUGUCCUGUCUUUUCUCAUGUAGAGUUUAUCUUAGGCAAGAAGAAUUAAUCAAAAACUUUCCUAAUUUUGGAGUUUCCAUUGUGGCUUAGCAGUUUAGGGAUAUAGUCUCUGUGAGAAUACGGGUUCAAUCCCUGGCCUCCAACAGUGGGUUAAGGAUCCAGCGUUGCUGCAAACUGAGGGGUAGGUCACAGAUGCGGCUCGGAUCUGAUGUUGCUGUGGCUGUGGCAUAGCCCUCAGCUACAGCU